GUACCUAGGGGAAAGUGCCAAAUGGCAUCAUUUGGUGCCAUCUGGUCUCAAGUAAUGAAUUUGAGGAUUUUGUAUGUUGAACAGUCAAGUCUCUUCUGUUCUAUUAUCCCACUUUUAUACUGCUGUCUGGUCAUAUUGCAGAUAUAUAUUUAUCUGUGGGUGUUGCUGUAAUCAUAUAGAUAUAUAUUUAUGUGUGGGUGUUGCUGUAAACAUAUAGAUGUAUAUUAAUGUGUGGGUGUUGCUGUAAUCAUAUAGAUAUAUAUUUAUGUGUGGGUGUUGUUGUAAUCAUAUAGAUGUAUAUUUAUGUGUGGGUGUUGCUGUAAUCAUAUAGAUAUAUAUUUAUGUGUGGGUGUUGUUGUAAUCAUAUAUAUAUUUAUGUGUGGGUGUUGCUGUAAUCAUAUAGAUAUAUAUUUAUCUGUGGGUGUUGUUGUAAUCAUAUAGAUAUAUAUUUAUGUGUGGGUGUUGCUGUAAUCAUAUAGAUAUAUAUUUAUGUGUGGGUGUUGUAAUCAUAUAGAUAUAUAUUUAUGUGUGGGUGUUGCUGUAAUCAUAUAGAUAUAUAUUUAUGUGUGGGUGUUGCUGUAAUCAUAUAGAUAUAUAUUUAUGUGUGGGUGUUGUUGUAAUCAUAUAGAUAUAUAUUAAUGUGUGGGUGUUGUUGUAAAUGAUAGUCACACAGUUGUUGACAGACAUAAAGGAGGGGGAACUGAUAGCUGUAUUGAUUCCUGGUAAAUAAUUGAUGACUAGUGAUUUAUAGUUGUUUAGAAUGAUGGUAUCUGUCUGGAGUACAGGGAGAGGAAUUCAGCACCUUCAACCCCUGACCUCUAGUCCCUGACCUCUAGCCCCUGACCUCUAGCCCCUGACCUCUGGUCCCUAACCUCUGGUCCCUGACCUCUGGUCCCUGACCUCUAGCCCCUGACCUCUAGCCCCUGACCUCUAGUCCCUGACCUCUAGCCCCUGACCUCUAGCCCCUGACCUCUAGUCCCUGACCUCUAGCCCCUGACCUCUACCCCUUGACCUCUAGCCCCUGACCUCUAGCCCCUGACCUCUGGUCCUUGACCUCUAGCCCCUGACCUUUGGUCCCUGACCUCUAGCCUCCGAACUCUAGCCCCUGACCUCUAGCCCCUUGAUCUCUAGUCCCUGACCUCUAGCCCCUGACCUCUAGUCCCUGACCUCUAGUCCCCGACCUCUGGUCCCUGAUCUCUAGCCCCUGACCUCUAGCCCCUGACCUCUAGUCCUUGACCUCUAGCCCCUGACCUCUAGCCCCUGACCUCUAGCCCUGACCUCUAGCCCCUGACCUCUAGCCCCUGACCUCUAGCCCCUGACAUCUAGUCCCUUGACCUCUAGCCCCUGACCUCUAGUCCCUGACAUCUAGCCUCUGAUCUCUGGUCCCUGACAUCUAGCCCCUGACCUCUUAAAAAAAAAUAUAUAUAUUUUUUUAAAUCAGCUCUUUCCAGCUAUAAUAGUCAUUUACAACAUUAACAAUAUCUACACUGUAUUUCUGAUCAAUUUUAUGUUAUUUUAAUGGACAAAAAAAAUGUGCUUUACUUUCAAAAAACAAGUACAUUUCUAAGUGACCCCAAAACUUUUGAACGGUCGUGUACGUUCUCCCGGUCAAGUUUUUAAAGUAACCAUUUCCUGCAGUCAAAUUACCUAGUAGCCUCAUGGGUGGAUUGUUAGUUUUUGUCAUAAUUGCAUAAUUAAUAAACAUUAAAAAAUGAAAAUAAUUUAACUCUGAAAAUCUGGUGUUUCUAUGUCAAAAC
This 1757-nucleotide long non-coding RNA is filed under the name Salmo salar (Atlantic salmon). RNAcentral's name for it is "lncRNA (ENSSSAG00000103769.1)". Lineage: Eukaryota; Metazoa; Chordata; Actinopteri; Salmoniformes; Salmonidae. The record is from RNAcentral.